AACAAUCUUAAUCAAACAAUGUAGAGUAUUUAUCAGCUACAGCCAAAAGUAUUAAGAAUUUGUACUUGACAUAGACUCCAUAGAAAUUGUACAAAGAGAGGAGAAGGAAUAUAAAUGUUCUCAUUUAUUUGGUGGAGGACCAAAGAUGGACCAAAAAAUAACUUAGCCAAUCGCACUUCAAGGCAAGCAAGAAGAAACUAUAUGGGCCAAUUACAGUGUUUCAUUUAUUAUGAAAGUUAUUUGGACCAAUUUUACCAUCAAUUCCAAUAAAUCUUGAU
Molecule: long non-coding RNA, 278 nt
Filed under: Brassica napus (rape)
Lineage: Eukaryota; Viridiplantae; Streptophyta; Magnoliopsida; Brassicales; Brassicaceae
Description: long non-coding RNA (BNAP_LNC020235)
Source: RNAcentral